This 432-nucleotide ribosomal RNA is filed under the name Urentius hystricellus. Its description in RNAcentral is "partial 16S ribosomal RNA". The record is from RNAcentral. Lineage: Eukaryota; Metazoa; Arthropoda; Insecta; Hemiptera; Tingidae.
UUCUAUUUUGUUUAUAUUAAUAGUAAAACCUGCUCAAUGAUUUAUUAAAUAGCCGCGAUUUUUAUCGUGCAAAGGUAGCAUAAUAAUUUGUCCUUUAAUUGAGGUCUAGUAUGAAAGGUUAAACGAUAAAUUAACUUUUUUAAUUAAAUUAUUUUUAAUUUUAUUUUUUAGUUAAAAAGCUAAAAUUUAUUUAUGGGACGAUAAGACCCUAUAGAAUUUUAUUAUUAUUAUACUAAUAAUUAUUUUGUUUUUAUAUAUUAUUUGUGUGGUAGUAAUUUGGUUGGGGUGAUUAUUAUAUUUAAAUAACUAUAAUUUAUUUUUAUCAUAAAUUAAUGAUUUUUUGAUCCUUAUUUUUGGAUUAUAAGAUUAAAUUACCUUAGGGAUAACAGCGUAAUUUUCUUGGAAAGUACUUAUUAAUAGGAAAGUUUGCGA